AAGCCAUCAAUAAUAUUGAGGUAAUUUCUUUUGCUCCCACUUUUCUCUUAUUUUCGUCAUUUUUUUUAGCACAACAUGUUAGUGGUGUAAAAUUCAUAUCUCAUUGUAGAAAUAUUGAAAUCAUAAUCCGUUUAAUUUUAUAGAAACUAGACUUCAAGAUCUACAACAUAUCCAAAAUGCAGAAUUAAAAUCCUUCAAUAUAAUUUUUGAUAAUUUUUUGAAAUUAGCCCUGAAUUUUAUCAUGCUGAAAAUUUCAGAUCUGCACACCUCUAUUAAAAUCUUCAUAUCUUGACGUAAGACUGAUGAAAUAAUAUGGUGCUUGAUUUUUUAUGAAACUAGACUCAAAGAUGUAUAACAUAUCUAAAAUUCAUAAUUUAAUAGCUUCAACGUUAUUUCAGACAAAAUUUUGAAAUUGACUUUAAAUUUUAUCAUGCUGAAAAUUUCAGAUCUAUGCGUCUUUACUAAAACUUUUAUAUCUCAAAGUAGGAGCGAUGAAAUCAUGAAACGCUUAAUUUUUUUUUAAACUAGACUAAAAAAUAUACAACAUAUCCAAAAUUUAUGAUUUAACAACUUCAUAAUUAUCCUAGAUAAUGUUUUGAAGUUGCCUCUGCAUGCUGAUACAUUUUCAAUUUCAGGUUUGCGUGGCUUCACGAGACAAAUUAUAUCUAGGCGUGGGAACGUUGAAAUUGUGAGUGUCCUUUUCCAUUGGAAAGAGAACUCUAAUAUUUACAACACUUUUAGUAGGCAAGCAAACUCAAGGGUGUAAUUUGAUCCAACUUUGCUGAUUGAGAUACUCGCCAUAUUUAGGUAAACAUUCCUUUUUCUUUUUUUUUGUUUCCCUUUUUCUUUCUUAUUCUUCUUUUUUUAGGUGAACUAUAAUAUCUUUCUCAAGAUAACGCCUUUUAUAUAAAGGAGAUAGUCUUACGAUGCAAAGGGAUUGAUAUCCUUUUGUAAUACCCUGAACUUUGCUUAAGCCUAAUUUCAUCUCUAUAAGAUUGAGAAAUGAAUUUCAAAGUGUGUAAUAUUUAAAUCAUAUAGAAUUCUCAUAAUUUUGACUUUUUAUCGUGUGGGAAAUUGAAUUAUCUUUCCAACGAUAUAAGAUUCGCCCAAAUUCGUUAACCGGGCAAGAAGUUAUAGCUAAUUGAAGUUCUUGUUGUAAAACAUCAUCAUCCAGACCCUUAGCGCAUCGCGGAGAGGAGUAUUAUCCCAAUUGUCAGUUUUCAGUAGCCUAGCGCGAUUGUGGCUCAUCGUGCUGAAGUUUCAGGUCCCAACUAGUAGGACAACACAAUGACUCCGCGUCGCGGUGACCCUCAAAUUCCCAUUCAUCAAUUUCCACUAAGCCACCGCGAUAGUGGCGCGUCGCGGUGGCCCAUAAAAUCGGGCUUCCAGUUAAAUUUUUCCAGUUUUGUCAAGGGUUAAAAAGAGGGGUAUUUUGGACAAUGAUCCUACCCCCAAUCCAUCCAAAUCAUAAAAUCUAUCAUAUUACAAAGCUCUUUAUGCCCUAAAUCCUCAUUCUCUUCAAAACAAAAACCCUAAGCAUCCAAAUCCUCUUCCAAGAAACUCAAAAGUUCACCAUAGUUCUUACAAAUUGAGUCAAGAUUCAAGACCUCCAAGUCAAAAGCUUCAAGAACCCUCAUUCAAGAGUUCCAAUAACAUCUCAAAAGCAAGUUUUUCAUCCAAGUUUAUCAAUCUAAGGUAUGUGGGGUUUGAACAAGAACAAUCCUUGCGUUCUUGUGUCCAAAAACUUUUUUUAAGAUAUAAAUUUCUGAAUUUUACUAUGAUUUCCAUGAACAUUAAUUUAGGGUUUAUACCCAUUACCAUUAUUUACAAGGUUAUGUGAUUUCCUAUGGUUUAAAAGUUGAAUUACAUGAUUUUGUUUAUAUUUUCGUGCCUAUUUCUGAAUUUUCCAGAUUUUAAGAUGAUUAUGAAUGUUUUGUUAUCAAAACAUGAAUUUUGAGAUGUUGAAAUCAUGAGAUUCAUAUUAUGGGUUAUUUUUUUUUUCAAUAUCUUGAUUGAGACGAUUGUAAGCUUUUUAAGAUGAUGAUUGAGCAUGACGUUUAAAUAUGAUUUUGAUGUAUUAAAGCUUUACAUUUUGAGUCCUAAGUACAAGUGAUGAGUCUUAACUUGAGAUUGAACUAUGGGCCACUAAGCCCUUCUUAACAAUUGCAAUUUUAUGAACUUCUGUGCUAUAAGCACCUAUGAUUUGAGUACUUUGAGAUUAUUGAGAAAUAUUUGACCUUUUUGGUCCUAAUAGAGUUGGAAUCCACAAUGAUGUUCUAUCAAAACAAAUAGUAAUACAUUUUGGUUUUCAGUAUAGACCCUUGAGUUAUUUAAGGUGGAUUUCCUAAGAGUUCUGAGCUGAGUAUGGGAGUAGUAUUUAGCACCGAGUUGGGUAUGAUUCCGAGGUCUCAUACCCCAGAACUACGUGCCACCAUAGGAUUGAGAUUUAUGGGCCCGAGGCUGAGAUAGUAAUCACUGAGUUGAGGUUAUACUCCCUAGCAAGAGUAUGACGCCUCUCCCCAACGUGAGGUUUCUUCCUUAGGAGGACAAGACGUUGGAAUCCAUGUAGCUCACAUGGUUUAUGUCGGUUAGAAGAAACUCCCGAGUGUCCAAAGUUAUGUAAUUCCAAGAGUCACAGAGUUCCCAAGUCUUAAAGUUUCAAAGAGUCCUGAGUCCUUUAGUUUCAAAGAAGUUUUACUCUCCAUGAAAUAAAAGUAUAAGUUUGAAAGCAUUGUUUAAAGUUCCUUUAGCCUUCAAGUAUUGAGAGUAAGAUGGAGAAUACAUAUUUUAGAAGUAAAUAGAAUGACUCACAAGAUUUGUACUAUAUGCUUCAUUAUACAUGAUUUAUGAGAUUCAGAUUUCAGCUUUUACUCAAGCUAUGUAAGUCAUUUAUAUCAAUAUGCAAAUUUUCUAUAAAGAUUGAUGAUAUUGUUUACUUAUUGCAUUGCAUCCCCAUAUACUCAGUACAUCCUUAAAGUUCUGAUCCACAUAUAUGUCUAUGUGCUACAUUGUCUCAUAAUGUAGGUACAAGUUGUAGUAUGUGCAGUCAAAAUCAAAUAGUUGUAAAUUCCAGCCAGCAGAUGAUGAGUCCUCCUAUUUCGGGGACUUCAGUUAGAUUUACUAUUGUUAUUUACUUUUUUAUUCUUAUGUAUUGAUUAGUGAUAGUUGGGAUCGCGUCCUUGCUAUCUAUAGUCAGUAUUAGUAGAGGAUUCAUAGACAAUCAGUAGAGUUAAUGUAUUCAGUUUCAGUUUUCUUUGUAAAACCAGAGUUAUAAUCAUGCGAAUUCAGUUUUGUAUUGAUUAGAUUCAGAGAAGAUUUAUCAUCUGCUGAUAUUGUACAAAUUUAUACAUUUUAUUCAGUUGUUUAUGAGUUUGCC
This 3376-nucleotide long non-coding RNA is filed under the name Capsicum annuum. Its description in RNAcentral is "long non-coding RNA (CANN_LNC020673)". Lineage: Eukaryota; Viridiplantae; Streptophyta; Magnoliopsida; Solanales; Solanaceae. The record is from RNAcentral.